Long non-coding RNA from Carassius auratus (goldfish), 295 nucleotides. RefSeq lists it as uncharacterized. Lineage: Eukaryota; Metazoa; Chordata; Actinopteri; Cypriniformes; Cyprinidae. The transcript is spliced from 3 exons. The record is from RefSeq and is a predicted model, not a curated record.
UCUACCGUAUUGACCUGAAGUUAGCCAUUCCUGGCAUCGCUGGACAAUCACACCCAGGGGUUGCUAAAGAUGUACAGAGCCAAAGCAAGACAGGGAAGGUGAAACAACUUGGAUGAACUUCUGGAACAACUGGAUGCCCAGACCACAGAUCUAACUACUUAUAGAAGGUCUUCUGUUCUUCGUGGUCUUCCACUGUACUUGAGAGAGCCAGCUUCAAUUUCAAAGACUAUUAAGGAUACUGAGGCACUGGGGCCACACACAAACGCCAUGAAAAUGGGGAUCCUGGAAGUGACUG